RNAcentral lists this ribosomal RNA (460 nucleotides) under uncultured bacterium. RNAcentral describes it as "partial 16S ribosomal RNA". It matches the Rfam family "Bacterial small subunit ribosomal RNA", at positions 338 to 795 of the family's 1533-position model. The record is from RNAcentral.
CCUACGGGAGGCAGCAGUGAGGAAUAUUGGUCAAUGGGCUUAAGCCUGACCCAGCAAAGUCGCGUGAGGGAAGACUGCCCUAUGGGUUUUAAACCUCUUUUGUCAGGGAGCAAUUGGCGCUCCGUGUAGCGUUAUCGAGAGUACCUGAAGAAAACGCAUCGGCUAACUCCGUGCCAGCAGCCGCAGUAAUACGGAGGAUGCGAGCGUUCUCCGGAUUUAUUGGGUUUAAAGGGUGCGUAGGCGGAAUGCCAAGUCAGCGGUAAAAUCGCGGGCCUCAACCUCGCUCCGCCGUUGAAACUGGCGUGCUUGAGUGGGCGAGAAGUAUGCGGAAUGCGGGGUGUAGCGGUGAAAUGCAUAGAUAUCACGAAGAACUCCGAUUGCGAAGGCAGCAUACCGGCGCCCAACUGACGCUGAAGCACGAAAGCGUGGGUAGCGAACAGGAGUAGAUACCCGUGUAGUC